UAUUCCCUUAUUGGGAGCACAAGAACCCUUAUAGAGUCCUUUGUAGGUUCUCCAUCGUUAGGAGAAAAUAACAGAGGCCAACCAGAGAAUAUUGAGAAGCAAAGCAGCUAGUAAGCCUGAUCUUUAUUGAAACUGUUGCAACAGAAUGCUCCCCUCACACACAGGAAAGGAGGAAGACCCCAAACAAAGGUGUGCCUGCCCUUAUAUAGACAUUUUAAAUUGCCUUCCCUGGCACUCAAGACCACCCCCAGAAACAUCAUACCUACAUCACAGAAAAGGCGGUCUACAACAGAAAUCUGAGUGCGUUGUUUAUCUCCUGUCUGGCAGGUUACCUGUUAAUGGUCACUUGAUUGGAUACCCUGGGGAGCCUGGCCAGUCUUUUGUAAUGACAAAUACUUAGUACCUGAGCCAGGUCACAGGCUCACCCUAUUCAUACACAGACAUACCCUUAAGACAGGAUUUAUGAACGAAAAAACAAUGGGGAGGCUUUUCCAUUUUCCUUUGACAUUGCAGAGGUCAAUUUGGGAGGGACAAAAUGGUUUCAGGACUUUUUCUGUGGGGUUUCAGACAUGUGGUUUAUAUAUGCAGUUAUGAACAUUUAUCUUUUAUAUAUAUAUGUAUAAGACCUAAAAAAAAAUUAUUUCAAGAGAAAAAGUGAGGGGCAGAUGGGGCCUGUCAACCUGGGAAGGUAGCCCAUCUAUUCUAGAAGAAGGAAAACUCUGAUCCUAAACCCCUGCUGCCUUGCAGGAUAUCUUUGGGAGAAGAAAAGGCUAAGAAGUAAACCUUACACAAAUGCAGAGUGGAGUCCCUAAGGUGGUUGGGUGGCGCUUUGUAUGCCUCCUCCUGGCAACUCCUGCAGCCAAACUGGCGCCAAAUGUCUUACUCUACUUUCCUUUGGACCACAUCAGUGAGGCUGAGAGUGGAGUUUUGUUGUCUGGGCAGCCCAGGACCUCCAUACACACUGCCCAGGCUCCUGUCCCAGAGAGGUCACUUCUGUGCUACUUAACGCAGCAGUUUUACUUCACCUCCAGAGGCACACUCCAUUGUUUCUCGAGACAGAAGCCAGCAAUAUCACCUGGGGGAUAUGUGUAUGUAUAAAUAUGCCUGUAUUAGUGAGCAUUCAGAAAUACAUUGCAUUAGGAGAAACUGCAAUGACAAACCUAGACAGCAUCUUAAAAAGCAGAAACAUCACCUUGCCGACAAAGGUCCGAAUAGUUAAAGCUAUUGUUUCCCCAGUACUGUAGUGAUGUAUGGAAGUGAGAGCUGGACCAUAAAGAAGGCUGAUCGCCGAAGAAUUGGUGCUUUUGAAUUAUGGUGCUUGAGGAGACUCUUGAGAGUCCCAUGGACUGCAAGAAGAUCAAACCUAUCCAUUCUGAAGGAAAUCAGCCCUGAGUGCUCGCUGGAAGCUGAGGCUCUAAUACUUUGGCCACCUCAUGAGAAGAGAAGACUCCCUGGAAAAGACCUUGAUGCUGGGAAAGAAUUGAGGGCACAAGAAGAGGACAACAGAGGACGAGAUGGCGUGCUCUGGUCCAUGGGGCCAUGAAGAGUCGGACACGACUAAACGCCUAAAUAACAAGGAGAAACUGCUUGAGAAAAUGUGCGUACAGUAUUUGUCAAAACUUCAUUCAAAGGUAUGCUGAUUAGGGGAAACCCCUGCUAAAAACUGAAAAAAAAUUAAUGAUUGUUAUUUCUUUUCUUUAAAAAAAAGGAUCUGCAGAUUGCUGGGAAAUGUGGAGAACUGAAUUUUAGAUUAGGGAACUAAGAAUUGGUGAGAAACCAUUUGCCUUUCCCUACCUAUAACAAAGUCUAAGCAAAUGCUAACUAAAACAGACACAUAUUCUCUCCCUGUCCACUUACCUUCCUUUCCUUUCUUUCCCUUGUAGUAAAUUUAAGACUGUAAGCUCCCUGGGGCAGGGAUCCAUAUCUCUUGUGCUCUCUAAUGUGUCCUGUGUGCUGACAGCACUGAGUAAAUAUGCCGGAAGUGAGUUUCGUUGGCGGGGUGUGUGGAAUUCUUCUACAGCGCUGCAAGCUCUCAGCCACUAAGCCACAGUACUACAAGUUUAAUCCUAUUAAACCCUUGCGCCAAAGGAAAUUGCUCCAGGCUAAGAGGUUUGCUUUGCUACAAUACGCAUCUCUGAUCACUGAGACAAUUUCUGGAGGGCAUCAGCACUACUUGAAAUUAAGCCUAGUUCAGUGCUUUUUUUGUUGUUUCAUGUGAAUCAAUUCUCACAAGCUUUCUUCUUCUUUUUAAGUGUUAUGUUGGGGGUUUUCGACUUCUUGCAAGCCUGCAAACAGUUUAUUGCUCUGCAAGCAGGAAUUGAGCUGUCAUAGAUAGUGCUGGUAUUUGUAUAAGGAAAGAUAUAUAGCCUCCCUUGGCUUGGAAGCUGAGUUCUCUGGCUAGGGGGCCUGGCUGAAGAGAGAUAAGGCGAGGGCCUCCUUUUCUUAAUGGCCACUAGUUAAGUUAAAACUGAAUAAACAAAUAAAAAAACCAGCUAUUUCCCACCGGGGAAACAAACAGAACUGAAAAAAGGAAGGCACCAUCAUGGCCUGGUGCAGUUCAGUCGUGUUUCAUCUGGAACCGGGAGUCUUAAGUUUGCAGAGGAAGGAGAGGAUGGUCAAAGUGUGCAGAUGUCAACACAAGAACCCCCUGCUGGAUUGGACCCAUGGCCCAUCUAGUCCAGCAGCCUGCUCUCAAAGUGACCAAACAGAAGCCUAGGGGAAGCAUGCAAGCAAGGCCAGUUGAAGAUAUUUUGCCACCUGUGGCAAAAUAGAAAAUGGUGCCGCCCUCCCCUGCUGUUGCUGCCUGAGGCAACCGGAGGCAGCCAAGGGAAGCCCAGGAGCACUGAAGGUGGUGGGAGAAAAAUAAGGAGGCCAAAGAGAAGCAGGCAGCAGCAGGUCUCCCUUCUCUUCCCAGGAGGUGGCCACAGGUGACAAGCACAAGAGAAGGAGGUGAUCGGUCAGUGGCAUGCAGUGAAAUUUUUCAUAGGGGAACAGUAAGGGCCAGAGGCACUAGCUUGCAAGGGCAAUUGGGGGGUUGACAUCAUACACAUGAUGUCCUGAUGUCCUGACAUCAUGCAUGUGAGCAUAGUGCUUCCCUCCCUAAGCUGGGCAGAAGCUUAGGGGCACAUUUAGGGGACUGACCUAGUUCCCCUACUCCAUUGUGAGCAGUGCAAUGCUAUGGAGCAUGGCUCUGUCGCCUCUCCCUGCUGUGCCCAGCCUGCCGCCUGAGAUGGCUAAUGAGCAGGCCGGCCCUGACUUGAGCGCAACAGCAACUCUUCCCCACUUGCCAUUCUCAGCAACAGGUGUUUAGAAACCUACUGCCUCUGGGGGAACAUAGCCAUUGAUAGCCUGGGCAGCGCUUGGGGGAGGGAAGAGAAACCCACAGAGCCAAUCUAAGUAAUCUCAUGCAAAGAGAACCUGGUGGAGGCCCCUGAGUAAACAUCUGUGAGCCCUUGGGGGUCUGCAGGUGCCACGGUGAGAACCCCAACUUGGCAGUUAUCCAGCCAACAUGUUAUUGGGGCAUGGAUAACUGUGACUAGGGAGCCAGUGUGGUGUAGUGGUUAAGAGUGAUAGACUCGUAUUCUGGGGAACCGGGUUCGCAUCUCCACUCCUCCACAUGCAGCUGCUGGGUGACCUUGGGCCAGUCAUACUUCUUUGAAGUCUCUCAGCCCCACUCACCUCACAGAGUGUUUGUUGUGGGGGAGGAAGGGAAAGGAGAAUGUUAGCCGCUUGAGAUUCCUUCGGGUAGUGAUAAAGUGGGAUAUCAAAUCCAAACUCUUCUACUAGAUCAUCUCCCUAAGGACACAUGGAGAACCCUGCUAGAUCUGGCGAAAGGCCCAUCUAGCCUCCUGUCAUUAUGGUGGCCUUCCAGAUGCGUGUUAGGAAUCCCCCAUAAAACAGCACUCUCCCUGCUUUCGAUUCCCAGCAACUAGCAUUCGGAGGCGGACUGUGUCUUCCCAAAAAGAAUUAUUGGAGGGAGGGUUUUUUGUUUUUUUUACCAGGGAGUGAUGUGAAACAGAAGAUGGGGACAGCUGGAGCAGAUGGCCGUUACAUCGAAACGUCUGCUGCCCAAGCUCAGGUUAUGGAAACACUGAGAGCCCAGGGAGUGAGUAAGUACUGGAAGCACUGUCAGAGGGAUUUGCAAAUAGCCAUGUGGCUAAUUGAUUUGAUCUCGGGGCUUGUUGCCUCUUGCCUCCUCCAAAUGGUGGUUCUUUAAUGAGGCCCGCUGACUAAUUGGCACUCGUUAAUGGGACCGUGACUGCCAGUUGCUCCAGGCCCUGUUUUGCUGCUCUGCAUGAUCACGGACGCCUCGCUUAUGAAUAGGCAUCCUUCUGAACAUUCCCGCCAUACCUGGGGAUAACAAUUAUCCAGAGUUCUCAUGCACUGAUCAGGAGCUGCCUCUUUACUGUUCUCUGGCUCAUCGGUGUGCCUCCCUGGGCCCUGCAUAAAAGCAGAGAGGGGCCAUUCCAUAAGGAUAGUGCUGAAGCUCAGACCUGAGAAUGUCCCACGCUGUGCUUUAUUGAAAGGCCUUACCGUGUGUGGGGAGAGUGGGGAAGGAGCUCAUUGGCAGGGAUGGAGAGAUCUGGUCAACUGUGGUUCUCAUGCCCACCUCCCAAAAAAUCUUAAAAUCUUUACGCUCCCACAGAACUCAUAAUUAUAAAAUAUCUUAUGGGAAAUCCAUCAGUGUGUCAGUUCAAAUUUCCCCUACCAUACAUAUUUUUGUAUACAGUUUGUUUUGAUUUGUAGACAACCCUUCCUCUGAAGAUCACAGAGUGGUUCAUUCACAACAUAAAACACAAUAUG
This 4803-nucleotide long non-coding RNA is filed under the name Podarcis lilfordi (Lilford's wall lizard). Lineage: Eukaryota; Metazoa; Chordata; Lepidosauria; Squamata; Lacertidae. The record is from RNAcentral.